Molecule: long non-coding RNA, 304 nt
Organism: Octopus sinensis (East Asian common octopus)
Lineage: Eukaryota; Metazoa; Mollusca; Cephalopoda; Octopoda; Octopodidae
Exons: 2
Source: RefSeq, a predicted model, not a curated record
GUAAAAUCGGUUGAAAGAAGUUGUGUGGGAGUCUUUUGGAGAAUUGGCACAGGAGUCUGUUUUUGUUUUAUUAUCUAUAGUGGGUGGGUUAUACACUCAAUCUAUUUCCCAGGUUAACACCACCACAUGGCCUCUUGGAUGACUUUGCAGAAUCUUUCCUGUUACAAACAACGUCUUCCCUUCCUCUUACUAGUCUUGUAGCUCAUUCAAAGAGUAAUGCAAAUUGCCCUUUCUCCACUAACAAAGCUAUAAAAAAAAAAUUAAAAUGAACAAUAUCCUAGAAUUAUAGUGUUCAGUCCAGAGG